GGUGCAGCUGCGUCCCCGCCGCUCAGCAGUCCGCGGCUCCGGCGUCGCCGCCGCCGCCGCCUCUGCGGGGCCUGCGCCGGCCGCCCGCCCGCCCGGCCGCGGGGAGGGAGGCCCGGUCGCGGGCGCCGCCACCGCCGCCGCCGCUGCCAGGACUGAAAUGCAACUGCAGAAGCAACAUGCGACCUUUUAAAGAUGCUUGUGGGACUGCAUAAAGUGAAGAGGGAAACUGGAAAAAACAAUGAA
This 243-nucleotide small RNA is filed under the name Pongo abelii (Sumatran orangutan). RNAcentral's name for it is "processed transcript". The record is from RNAcentral. Lineage: Eukaryota; Metazoa; Chordata; Mammalia; Primates; Hominidae.